This 411-nucleotide ribosomal RNA is filed under the name uncultured Bacillota bacterium. Its description in RNAcentral is "bacterial SSU rRNA". It matches the Rfam family "Bacterial small subunit ribosomal RNA", at positions 356 to 774 of the family's 1533-position model. The record is from RNAcentral. Lineage: Bacteria; Bacillati; Bacillota.
AGGGAAUAUUGCGCAAUGGACGGAAGUCUGACGCAGCGACGCCGCGUGAGUGAUGAAGGUCUUCGGAUCGUAAAGCUCUGUCCUUGGGGAAGAAGGUCUUCGGACUUGACGGUACCCAAGAAGAAAGCCCCGGCUAACUACGUGCCAGCAGCCGCGGUAAUACGUAGGGGGCGAGCGUUGUCCGGAAUUACUGGGCGUAAAGGGUGCGUAGGCGGCCGAUCAAGUCAGGUGUGAAAAAUCAGGGCUUAACCCUGAUCGUGCACUUGAAACUGGUUGGCUUGAGUGCAGGAGAGGAAAGUGGAAUUCCCAGUGUAGCGGUGAAAUGCGUAGAUAUUGGGAGGAACACCAGUGGCGAAGGCGACUACCUGGACGAUAACUGACGCUGAGGCACGAAAGCUAGGGGAGCAAACA